CAACUUCCUCCCAUCCAGUACUGCAUCAUCAUGCUAGCAGAUCGAGGAUUAGUGAUUCUGACACUCUGAAUCCUGUUUCGGAUCAGUCGAUCAAGCCCUACAAUAAUCAAGUCAGGGGUUCUGAAGAUAGCACGAUGCAGUCUUUUGUUCCGCUCACGCCAUAUCGAAUAGAUUGUAAAUUGCCAGCAGAGGAAGUUUUGCAGGGCCGGAAUAUUCCGACGAGAAGCCAUCGCCGACCAAAUUGUAAACGCAAACGGAUAGUCAAAAAAGAGAUGGUUUCUGGAUUCAGGAUUAGCGUUGCAUAGGAUACAAGUCGGUGUAACGUCUAACCCCCGAUUGAUCAUACGGUCUUUUGUUGGACAUCUAUUGAGCAUCACAAGCCAAGUCAAAAAGCUUUGCUUCGGGAUUCCAAGGGGAGACCACACCAGUUGCGACCAGUUCACAGUUUCGAUAUCUCCUCGAAGGAUCAGAGUAGUGAGGUAUGCUUGAAACGCCAAUUGAUUAUCAGUCCGAGCAUGCGGGAGAAUCCAAUUGCCAUUAGCAGACAAGGAAGCCAGAGUGGCUCUAUGCGGUAUCCCCAAUCGAGAAGAAGCUCCAUUCAGAAAAGUGAAGAUAUUGCCAAACGGAGACCAAUUAUCAUCCCAGAAUCUAGUGACCACCCAAACUGAGUCUUCUCUGAAGAACAAGAGCCAAACCAGCUUGAGGAUGCACGCUCUGUUCCAAGUAGCCAAGUCACGCACGCCUAAACCGCCCUGCUCUCGCGUAUUAGUAACCGUAUCCCAAGAGACGCGUGCUGAAUGGCUACCUUCAAGCUCUCCAUGCCAGAGAAAGGAACCACACAUGGAGUUUAUUUGCUUUACACACGCCUACGGCAGUAUGAAAGAAAAGCACCAAAAGGGGCUGGCAGUUAACAAGUGAGAGUUUUUUCGAGAUCAGAGGCACACCAAGAUAUCUCAUAGGCAGUGAGGCAGAGGUCAUUCCCGUAGAAGCCUGGAUCGUUGCUAUUCAUUCGUCAGUUAAACCCGAUGCAAAGAAGCUCGUUUUUUGAAAGCUGACCGCAAGUCCGGAGCGCUGCUCAAACUCAUGUAGCGUCAUUAGCACAGUCUGCACCGACUCAAUUGAUCCAUCAAUGAAGAUUAACAGGUCAUCAGCAAGUUGAGAAAAGCAAUAUUGGUCAACGAAUUUUAUCUUCACAUAUAAAACAUUUUAAUUAUUUCAUCUAAUUUCAAAAGAUACACUUUUUAAAGAAAAUUAAUUUUAAAAAAACAAAUUGCAAACAAAUUUUAUAUAUCUUUUAUUAGUUGAUAAUCAUAGUUAUAAACAAGGCUUAUAGGAAGAUAAAAGUUGUUAGAC
Molecule: long non-coding RNA, 1353 nt
Organism: Raphanus sativus (radish)
Lineage: Eukaryota; Viridiplantae; Streptophyta; Magnoliopsida; Brassicales; Brassicaceae
Exons: 5
Source: RefSeq, a predicted model, not a curated record